AGAGAUGUGUGAUGACGCAUAUCAAUAAGCGGAGGAAAAGAAACUAACUAAGGAUUCCCUCAGUAACGGCGAGUGAAGCGGGAAGAGCUCAAAUUUGAAAUCUUCAAGGUUCUACCUUGACGAAUUGUAGUUUAAAGAAGUGUUUUCUGUUGGAGUUUUGGUAAAAGUUCUUUGGAAUAGGACAUCAUAGAGGGUGAGAAUCCCGUAUUUGAUCAUUCCUUCUAGCUGUGUGAUACACUUUCAAUGAGUCGGAUUGUUUGGGAAUGCAGUCCAAAAUGGGUGGUAAAUUUCAUCUAAAGCUAAAUAUUGGCGAGAGACCGAUAGCGAACAAGUACCGUGAGGGAAAGAUGAAAAGAACUUUGAAAAGAGAGUUAAACAGUACGUGAAAUUGUCAAAAGGGAAGCGUUUGACACCAGUGUUGUUUUUCUCGAAAAUCAAUUACGAAUGUUUUGUUUUUGAGAAGUUAUGACUUCAUCGGCUUGCUUCUCUCUUUACGAAACUUUCUUAAUGCACUUUUCGGUUAACAAGUCAACAUCAAUUUCUUUUGUUGUAAAAGGGUAUGAGGAAGGUGGCUUUCUUUUCGGAGAAAGUGUUUAUAGCCUUGUACCUCUGCAAAUCGGAGAGAUUGAGGUCUGCAGCGUAGAUCCUUCGGGGUUAGAUACAUUUGUGCUAAGUUAUAGCUUUUCAUAGACAACUUGUUGACUAUGUUAAGUCUUGUAGCUUACUCGCUUAUGCUAUUUUACCUACGCUUAGGAUGUUGAUCUGUAGUGCGUGCGC
This 777-nucleotide ribosomal RNA is filed under the name uncultured Neocallimastigales. RNAcentral's name for it is "partial large subunit ribosomal RNA". It matches the Rfam family "Eukaryotic large subunit ribosomal RNA", at positions 23 to 647 of the family's 3401-position model. Lineage: Eukaryota; Fungi; Neocallimastigomycota; Neocallimastigomycetes; Neocallimastigales. The record is from RNAcentral.